Molecule: ribosomal RNA, 206 nt
Filed under: uncultured bacterium
Lineage: Bacteria
Description: partial 16S ribosomal RNA
Rfam family: Bacterial small subunit ribosomal RNA
Source: RNAcentral
AGCGCAGGCGGUUUUUUAAGUCUGAUGUGAAAGCCUUCGGCUUAACCGGAGAAGUGCAUCGGAAACUGGGAGACUUGAGUGCAGAAGAGGACAGUGGAACUCCAUGUGUAGCGGUGAAAUGCGUAGAUAUAUGGAAGAACACCAGUGGCGAAGGCGGCUGUCUGGUCUGUAACUGACGCUGAGGCUGAAAGCAUGGGUAGCGAACA